This 3786-nucleotide long non-coding RNA is filed under the name Sus scrofa (pig). Its description in RNAcentral is "lncRNA (ENSSSCG00005027369.1)". The record is from RNAcentral. Lineage: Eukaryota; Metazoa; Chordata; Mammalia; Artiodactyla; Suidae.
AAGAACUUAAAAAAUGAACUAGGGAAAACCUAGUUUAACCAACUGAAGUAUUUUUCAAUUUAAUUUCACUGUAAAGACAUUGGUUUUAAAAGUUAAGUACUAAGAAAUAGGGAUAUAGGUGUGUUUGGAGGGUGGGCCGGUGGGGCAGAUUGAUGGGAAAGGUUUAAUGGGAAAUAUUUUAUCAAAACAUUGACUCAUCCUGUAUUCCAAGGUCCUCAAAUUGUAAUCUUUUCUUCUAAAUCCACAUUAAAUGUUGACAGCUGCUACAGGAAUGUGCUUCAAAUUCCAUCCUGAUAUUCUAAUUUUCUCGCUUUCAAUCAUUCAUUUGCUUCCAGUUACUUUGUUUUGGUUUUGGCUUUUGGUCCCUGCACUGACAAAGAAGACAGGAAUUUUCACGCUAUUUUAUCAAAGGCUGGGUGGGGCGGCGGGGCUCAUCUGCCCAUUAGAAGUGCAACCAGGUGAUGGAGGCAGCACAGGAAGAUGGGGUCCUUGACCAAAUGGUCAAGGUUGAUUUCCUCUGGAUGGCCAAGAAGCCACUGAGAACCUAGGGUGCAGUGCGUAGGGAGUAGGGGGCAAGGAUGCUGGCUGGUAGGAGACCCAGUGAGGGGCAGGAGGGUGGGGGGGAGGCAGCCAGGAGCACUGCAGGGUGAGGGUGGGAGGGAUGUGGGGUGAUCCGCUGAGAGUUGGAGCUCAUAGGCCUUCUAUGUGCAGCCUGGUGGCAGGGUGGGUAACAGGCAGGGGCAGGGCAUGCAGCCAAGGGCGGGCUCCUGUGCUACAGAGAAAGCUGGACCUCACAAGUCCCCUCAAAGUGCCAGGUCCAGGUUGGCUUUCAGACUUAUUCUAGAAAAAGUGGGAUCUCCUCUGUCUAUCAACACUCAGACCGUCACUUCUCCAAUUGUUCCUGACUGCAUCUGUUACACUUAUGUUAAACAGAUGACUACACUAAGUGGCUUCAUUACAAUAAUUCUCUUUCUGAUCUUUAGCCUCAACUUUUCAUCGGCCGGUUAAGUUUGUUUCUUCUAGAAUACAACAAACAAGUCUCCAAAUGAUAUACAGUGGGGAUAUCAACCAAUCAACACCUGACAAUGUUGAAAAAAGCCAUCACAGCGCCCCGUGGGGCCACACCGCCNNNNNNNNNNNNNNNNNNNNNNNNNNNNNNNNNNNNNNNNNNNNNNNNNNNNNNNNNNNNNNNNNNNNNNNNNNNNNNNNNNNNNNNNNNNNNNNNNNNNNNNNNNNNNNNNNNNNNNNNNNNNNNNNNAUCUGGGUUCUGCCAUAGAGGGAAACAACAUGAGCAGGGUGUUCAAAGGGGCCAAAGACUUGCCCCAAGAGAAAGAAGGAAGAAUGUUAACUUCGAGUCCCCCUCAAAGAGACUCUACUCAAAGCCUCUGGCCAAGACAAGAAUUACCAGAUCCUUAUCAUUGCCCUACAGGUGGCAUUGUAAUGCCCCUCCCCGACCUUACAAGCAAAGGUAUGCGGCCCACUCCUCAUCACGCCUUCGCUGGGUCAAUAAGAACACAGGAACGUCCCUAUAACCUGCCCCGCAUGCAAAUACGGUAUCUUGCCCGAGACCAAUGGGAAGAUCAAAUAUGCCCCAUGAGAGACCAAUCAACACUCAGCCCUUACACUCGCGGUGGGCCAGGGCGGGAUGGAUCACUGGGCCGGGGUGGGAGAAGCAGGCCCCCACUCAGGUCCCUAGUGUGGGGACACAAGGAAAACCCACCUGUGAAGCGGGCCAGUCCCUGCGUGCCCGGCGGCCCCGCUCUCGCUCCAAGUGUACCUGUGCUUUCAUAAACCUGCCCUAACGCGCCCACCGUUUCAAGUCUCUGCUGCUGCAGCAACAAAGCAACCCUAGCCUUCUGGUGUCCUGCCUGUUGGAGCAGGAGAGAGCUCUGAACCACAGAGCAUUUCCAUUGAGCCCAGCGCCCAAAAGACCCAUCCGUCCUGGAGGAGGACGUCCCAAUGAGAAGCUCCUGGCGCAGCGGCUGUGAGGACCUGGCCAGCUUCCUCCCGGGGGGUGAUACCCAGCUCCAGCAUCCCCUCCCCUCCCCACCUCGCUUAAGAGCCUAGCAGGCUCGCCUCUGUUCCCCCCAGGGUGCCGGAGGGAGGUGAAGAGGGUGGAAGAGCCAGGGACAAAUGAUGAAGGUAAAUGAGUGUUGGAAAGCAGGGAAAGUCCCCCCGGGGUGCGGGGGGGGGGGAUGAAAGAGGUACCCCCCCUCCCUGCCAAGGAUGAUACCAGAGAGGGUAGGCCUUUCUUCUGGGUCACCUCCCCUUCAAAGGAUUCAUUCCGCCCUUCCCGACCUCGUCCCUCCCUCUCCAACCCUCCAGCCCAUUACCUCCUGGCUCUGAAUCUCUUUUAACUCUAUUUACAAGUGUAUUUACAUAUUUUUAAGGGGACAGGCGAGAAGAGAAGGGGUCCUGAGUGGCCUGAAAUGGAAACUGCAGCAGGGCCCUGGCCCGGAUCUCUCCUCUACAUCUUAUCCUUAGUUCCUCAACGUGAACUCCCAGGGCAAGUGAACAAUCUUUAUCAUUCCUACUGAGUUAGGUACUACUUGGCAGAGUAAAUUUUGUCCUUUUUGGAAUGUACCGUCUCUAUCAUACUCAAACGUUUAAAGAAUUGAUUUCAAUGGUAGAGUCUGUAAAGCAACCCACAGGAAGUGAGGAACCUAGGCCUGGCUUCCUGUAGGCAGCAGAAAGUGGAGUCAGAACCCUGGCCCCAGUUCCUGAGCUCUGCAUAGACUGCUCACAUGAUUUAAUCUCUUAGCCAAGUCCCUUAUCCCCCGAAAUAAUAAUAGCAUUGUGUAGCUUAGGCUUCUUCAAAGAGUUCAGUGAAAAGGCACAUUUCCCACGUUCACCAUGGAAUUUAAUACUUAUCAGGGUUUGUUCCCUCCAACCCCAAGGCUUUCUGUGGGAUCUUGGUGGAUGGAUCACCCUUUCUAAGGAUCCUUUAGACAGCAGGGAUUCUCAAACAUCCGCACUCCUUAAACUCUUCUGGAAUCCAUGCAACUGGUCCCACACUUUUACCAUCUGAAAAACGAAUGAAACUGUUUCCAACUUAAAAAGGUGUCAGCCUGCUUCCAGAACGCUGAGAUGUGAUGAGAAGGAAAUCCUUGCUGCAACUCUGAGAGCCUGGGUUGCGUUAACCCUUGGUCAUCCCAUGCUCCAGAGCAGGGCACUGCCUGCUUCAGUCUGUCCAGAGGGAGGGGAAGCCCUGACACGUUUUGGUCACUUCAGUUGUUCUUGUUCAUCUGAUGGGAACGUUGCAUUAACACAUCCAAAGGUCUGUGAGAGGAUAAGCCAGCUGGCCUCUCUGCUGCCAGGGGUUGUCUCCUCCUGGGCUUGUCGGAGCCCUUCCUAGGGUCACAGAGACAGGGCAUAGCAAUGCACAAGGAGAAUGUGGGUCACCUCCCCAGGGAUCUGCUCCUCUGGAUGCCCUCGGGAGGCCCUUCUGCUGCCCCGAGGGUGCGCUUAUCUCUGCUGUCACCUUCGUUGUAUUCAUACCUUGGGAGAUUAGCGGGUGCUGACAUCAGCAGGUCCACUGUCAACCCUAGUGAAGUGGCCUGGUGACCCUUCUCAUCCAGCGCCACUGGACUGGGGAGACAUGUUUACUAAACUUGGAAAUUCGGGCAGCAUACUCGUGUUCAUUCCACUGAUCUGAAAAUAAAUUUUAAGAGUUUUUAGGUCUUCGAAUUGCUUCAGUGGUUGGCAACCAUUACUAAAACAAACAUUUUUAGAUAUAGAAUAUAAACAUCAAGGUGGGCCUAAUUAAUUAGCUGAUUUCUGCCAGAU